Molecule: ribosomal RNA, 447 nt
Filed under: uncultured bacterium
Lineage: Bacteria
Description: partial 16S ribosomal RNA
Rfam family: Bacterial small subunit ribosomal RNA
Source: RNAcentral
AACGAACGCUGGCGGCAGGCCUAACACAUGCAAGUCGAGCGCCCUUUCGGGGGAGCGGCGGACGGGUGAGUAACGCGUGGGAAUAUGCCCUUCUCUACGGAAUAGCCUCGGGAAACUGAGAGUAAUACCGUAUACGCCCUGUGGGGGAAAGAUUUAUCGGGGAAGGAUUAGCCCGCGUUGGAUUAGGUAGUUGGUGGGGUAAUGGCCUACCAAGCCGACGCUCCAUAGCUGGUUUGAGAGGAUGAUCAGCCACACUGGGACUGAGACACGGCCCAGUCUCAUACGGGGGGCAGCAGUGGGGAAUCUUAGACAAUGGGGGCAACCCUGAUCUAGCCAUGCCGCGUGAGUGAUGAAGGCCUUAGGGUUGUAAAGCUCUUUCAGCGGGGAAGAUAAUGACGGUACCAGCAGAAGAAGCCCCGGCUAACUCCGUGCCAGCAGCCGCCGUAA